GGGGGACAGAGUGACAGGUGGUGCAUGGUUGUCGUCAGCUCGUGUCGUGAGAUGUUGGGUUAAGUCCCGCAACGAGCGCAACCCUUAAGCUUAGUUGCCAUCAUUAAGUUGGGCACUCUAAGUUGACUGCCGGUGACAAACCGGAGGAAGGUGGGGAUGACGUCAAAUCAUCAUGCCCCUUAUGAUUUGGGCUACACACGUGCUACAAUGGACAAUACAAAGGGCAGCGAAACCGCGAGGUCAAGCAAAUCCCAUAAAGUUGUUCUCAGUUCGGAUUGUAGUCUGCAACUCGACUAUAUGAAGCUGGAAUCGCUAGUAAUCGUAGAUCAGCAUGCUACGGUGAAUACGUUCCCGGGUCUUGUACACACCGCCCGUCACACCACGAGAGUUUGUAACACCCGAAGCCGGUGGAGUAACCAUUUGGAGCUAGCCGUCGAAGGUGGGACAAAUGAUUGGGGUGAAGUCGUAACAAGGUAGCCGUAUCGGAAGGUGCGGCUGGAUCACCUCCUUUCUAAGGA
RNAcentral lists this ribosomal RNA (518 nucleotides) under Staphylococcus epidermidis. RNAcentral describes it as "bacterial SSU rRNA". It matches the Rfam family "Bacterial small subunit ribosomal RNA", at positions 1021 to 1533 of the family's 1533-position model. Lineage: Bacteria; Bacillati; Bacillota; Bacilli; Caryophanales; Staphylococcaceae. The record is from RNAcentral.